This 1550-nucleotide long non-coding RNA is filed under the name Mus musculus (house mouse). Its description in RNAcentral is "long non-coding RNA chrX:169979741-169981291". The record is from RNAcentral. Lineage: Eukaryota; Metazoa; Chordata; Mammalia; Rodentia; Muridae.
AGGAUGUGCCCAGACAUCUAGAGUUUUCCUGGGAAAGAUCCCCAGCUGAUUCUAUCGCACACAGUGUUUGUGAAUCUCCGAGGCAACUGUCAACUGACCUGUAAUGAAAAGUACGCUCUACAUGGAAGUCCACUCGAGAAGAUCGUGGCAGUUUCACAGUAUGCUCUCAAUUUCUUUUACAUCAAUAUCUCCUGUUUCGGUUAUUCUUCUUGUCCUUAAACAUCACCGUUAAUCUCCAAAUAGCCUCAGAGGAAAAACCUGAAAAAUAUGACAUUGAAGAGCCGUCAUCUUUGAGACGUGUGGUCUCUGCUGUGCCUAUUCAAAGGCUAAGAGAGUGACAUGAAAUGAAGCCAGAAGAGUAGUCUGACCUCAUCUCGUUUGGUGAGAAUUUUAUCAUCUGCCUUCAACUUGGCCGUACCAUUUAAAUCUUCUUGAUGUUAUGUAAUUAAAUAUUCCACUCAUCUGGUUUAUGGUUGAGACUAUUAACUUAUCCUUCUGGAAUUCUCCCUUCCUCUGACAGUUCCUAAUAGAUGUGUUCUAACACCCUGAGUUAGGCUAGAGGGCUGCCUCGACUCUCUAGAUAAUGUUGCCAGAGGCUCUGUUCUAUCUGGUGUGAAAUGGUGUUAUUUUGUUCGACUCGGGUACACACUUCUCCUGAUAGGGACAAGACCUACCUUUAGAAUGAACGAUGUGUUUUUAACCAUGCUGCCAAGAUCACAUAUUCUUAGCUGCCAAGUCUGGACAUUUCAUUCUGACUCGUCAUUUUCAUGGACUCUUUUCAGCCUUGUCUGAAAUCUUGGGCUCAGCACCUCUCGAUUCGGCUGUCAUUUCCUUCGUUUGCUUAGUACACAUUUGGAAUUGGACAUUCCCUAGGGUUCUACAGAUCUGACAUCUCCUUCCUUCCUUCCUUCCUUCCUUCCUUCCUUCCUUCCUUCCUUCCUUUUUUUUUCUCCAAGAUUAAAGUUGUCCUGGGAUAAUAGUCAUGACUUGGAGAAAGCAAAAAUCUCUUGAAGUUAGCAGGAAUUCUGGAGGGAGCUUGAGCCUGCCUUGUCUGUAAGACAGAUUAACCAGGCAUCCUCCCUACCCUCUCACCCAAGGCUAUUUUCCAUUCCGGAAUUAUCAGAAAACCAGCCAAAACCUGUCCCCUUGCAUGUAGGUGGGGCCGGUAGGCACGAGGUGAUUCCAAUUACUUGGAAUUUUAAUUCUAACUUGGCUCCUGGCUGGAGGGCUUCAGCUUAUGGCACAUUUCAGACACCAGAGCCGCGGUCAAGCGGCUUCCCCUGGACUUCUCUUGACCUGCCGGAGAGAGAGGUCGUGGACGAUUACAGUCAAUACGGUCAAGGUUUGUUUUUUUUUUUUGGUUUUUUUUCAAGCAAGACAGAAUCGGGAACUAGAAUGGAGAUUGUGAAACAAGUGUGUGUUUUAUCCCAAAUGGGAAAUGCUUAUCAAAAUAGUCAACUCAUCAAGUGAGCACAGAGUGACUGGAAAUGACGUUUACAGUGAGAGGAAAUGGCCCAGCUGUGCUUUUUUUGGCUUUCUCUCAUCAGUUC